GAUGAACGCUGGCGGCGUGCCUAAUACAUGCAAGUCGAGCGAACAGAUAAGGAGCUUGCUCCUUUGACGUUAGCGGCGGACGGGUGAGUAACACGUGGGUAACCUACCUAUAAGACUGGGAUAACUUCGGGAAACCGGAGCUAAUACCAGAUAACAUUUGGAACCGCAUGGUUCUAAAGUGAAAGACGGUUUUGCUAUCACUUAUAGAUGGACCCGCGCCGUAUUAGCUAGUUGGUAAGGUAAAGGCUUACCAAGGCGACGAUCCGUAGCUGACCUGAGAGGGUGAUCGGCCACACUGGAACUGAGACACGGUCCAGACUCCUACGGGAGGCAGCAGUAGGGAAUCUUCCACAAUGGGCGCAAGCCUGACCGAGCAAUGCCGCGUGGGUGAUGAAGGGUUUCGGCUCGUAAAGCUCUUUUAUUGGGGAAGAACAGAAGUGUAUGUAUCCGCGGCCGUCUUGACGGUACCCAAAGAAUAAGCACCGGCUAACUUCGUG
Molecule: ribosomal RNA, 497 nt
Filed under: uncultured bacterium
Lineage: Bacteria
Description: partial 16S ribosomal RNA
Rfam family: Bacterial small subunit ribosomal RNA
Source: RNAcentral